UACGGGGGGGGCAAGCGUUGUUCGGAAUUACUGGGUGUAAAGGGCUCGUAGGCGGCCAACUAAGUCAUACGUGAAAUCCCUCAGCUUAACUGGGGAACUGCGUGUGAUACUGGAUGGCUUGGAUUUGGGAGAGGGAUGCGGAAUUCCAGGUGUAGCGGUGAAAUGCGUAGAUAUCUGGAGGAACACCGGUGGCGAAGGCGGCAUCCUGGACCAAUAUUGACGCUGAGGAGCGAAAGCUAGGGGAGCAAACGGG
Molecule: ribosomal RNA, 253 nt
Filed under: uncultured bacterium
Lineage: Bacteria
Description: partial 16S ribosomal RNA
Rfam family: Bacterial small subunit ribosomal RNA
Source: RNAcentral